This 73-nucleotide non-coding RNA is filed under the name unclassified sequences. RNAcentral's name for it is "RAGATH-18 RNA". It matches the Rfam family "RAGATH-18 RNA". Rfam says of the family: Actinobacteria, Firmicutes, Fusobacteria, Thermotogae (1 example). The record is from Rfam by way of RNAcentral.
CCUUCAAAGAGUUGUAUCAAACAAAAUAGAUUGCUAUUUAUAGUUUUCAAAAUUGAACUUGUAGAACAAGGAA